CCCUUCUCCAAUCAACCUCACCAUCCUUAGUCUCGGCCUUGACUGUGUGCACCUUCUCCAAUAAUGGCACACCAUCUUCCGGCAUUCCUGUCGCCUCCCAACAGGUGUGGCUCCUAGUCGGCUCCAGAUCGACUACCGACUACCCACCGAAGAAAGGCCGCAACACCACCUAUAAAUACCCCCUUUCUCUCUCCCUCUACAAAUCAUUCAAAUCCGCAGCCAAUCAUCGGCGAGGCCGUGCGAUUUCUACCUAUUUUCGUCAGGUGUUCCUUGACGAAUCAUCGUCGAUUUCUCAUGGAGAUGAGAACCUUCAACACAAGAGAAGCAUCGGAUCUAGAGAUCGAGUCACAAGAUGAAGGUCAUGCUUUUUGGAUCUGAUUGACUAUUCAGAAGAUACUAUGGGACUUAGGACCGAUCAGUAAGGAGCAUAGGAUAUUAGAGAAUAUUUAUUUAGUUUAUUUUUAAAUAAAUUUUGAUCUUGAUUAU
Molecule: non-coding RNA, 486 nt
Organism: Elaeis guineensis (African oil palm)
Lineage: Eukaryota; Viridiplantae; Streptophyta; Magnoliopsida; Arecales; Arecaceae
Source: RefSeq, a predicted model, not a curated record